Molecule: ribosomal RNA, 429 nt
Filed under: Bacteroidota bacterium
Lineage: Bacteria; Pseudomonadati; Bacteroidota
Description: Bacteroidetes bacterium partial 16S ribosomal RNA
Rfam family: Bacterial small subunit ribosomal RNA
Source: RNAcentral
UAGGGAAUCUUCGGCAAUGGGGGGAACCCUGACCGAGCAACGCCGCGUGAGUGAAGAAGGUUUUCGGAUCGUAAAGCUCUGUUGUUAAGGAAGAACGAGUGUGAGAAUGGAAAGUUCAUACUGUGACGGUACUUAACCAGAAAGGGACGGCUAACUACGUGCCAGCAGCCGCGGUAAUACGUAGGUCCCGAGCGUUGUCCGGAUUUAUUGGGCGUAAAGCGAGCGCAGGCGGUUAGAUAAGUCUGAAGUUAAAGGCGGUGGCUCAACCAUUGUAGGCUUUGGAAACUGUUUGACUUGAGUGCAGAAGGGGAGGGUGGAAUUCCAUGUGUAGCGGUGAAAUGCGUAGAGAUAUGGAGGAACACCGGUGGCGAAAGCGGCUCUCUGGUCUGUAACUGACGCUGAGGCUCGAAAGCGUGGGGAGCGAACAGG